UACAGAGGGUGCAAGCGUUAAUCGGAAUUACUGGGCGUAAAGCGCGCGUAGGCGGUCAAGCAAGUCAGAUGUGAAAUCCCCGGACUUAAUCUGGGAACUGCACCUGAUACUACUUGACUGGAGUAUGAUAGAGGAAAGUGGAAUUUCCAGUGUAGCGGUGAAAUGCGUAGAUAUUGGAAGGAACACCAGUGGCGAAGGCGACUUUCUGGAUCAAUACUGACGCUGAGGAGCGAAAGCCAGGGGAGCAAACGGG
This 253-nucleotide ribosomal RNA is filed under the name uncultured bacterium. Its description in RNAcentral is "partial 16S ribosomal RNA". It matches the Rfam family "Bacterial small subunit ribosomal RNA", at positions 524 to 776 of the family's 1533-position model. The record is from RNAcentral.